Molecule: ribosomal RNA, 253 nt
Filed under: uncultured bacterium
Lineage: Bacteria
Description: partial 16S ribosomal RNA
Rfam family: Bacterial small subunit ribosomal RNA
Source: RNAcentral
UACAGAGGAGCCAAGCGUUGUCCGGAUUGACUGGGCGUAAAGCGCACGCAGGCGGACGCGCGCGUGGGGUGUGAAAUCUGGCCGCUUAACGGCCAGGCGCCAUCCCAUACGGCGCGUCUGGAGUGAUGCAGAGGUCGGUGGAAUUGCCGGUGUAGUGGUGAAAUGCGUAGAGAUCGGCAGGAACACCCAGGUGGAAACCAGCCGACUGGGCAUCUACUGACGCUGAGGUGCGAGAGCGUGGGGAGCGAACCGG